RNAcentral lists this long non-coding RNA (1312 nucleotides) under Ursus americanus (American black bear). RNAcentral describes it as "lncRNA (ENSUAMG00000021431.1)". The record is from RNAcentral. Lineage: Eukaryota; Metazoa; Chordata; Mammalia; Carnivora; Ursidae.
CGGGGUCCCCUCUGGGCGCCUCCACGAGGACUCUGCCAGCACACGUGCCCUUCCUUCUGCUCUCUCCCCGAUCUUCCCCUGACCCCCAGAGGAAAACCAUGUGGAAUGGGAAGGGGGACCAGAGGAGGGAGGCCAGGCGUGAAGGGAGGGCCGGCAGUCGGAGGAGCCCAGGAGGCCCAGCAAACCGGUCUUAAGACAAAUCCAGCUCGUGUGGGUGUGUGUCUGUUCUGGUUUGCCCAGCCUGGGAGGCCUGGGUCACAGGCCACACACCCUAACACUGACCGGCAGCCGUGAGCGCGUCAGGCUCGGAGUCCAUCCCCUUGGGCUGCAGACUCGGGUUAGCAGUGGUCUGACUUUCGUCUGGGGCAACCCGAGGUCGUCUUUUCCAGGAGCCACAGGAGCGGAGCACCUUGUCCUCAGAACAUUAUCAAGAAGCCUCUUGAGCUGUCGUGUGCCCAGAAUGACGGGCUUUGCGUCUUACUGGGACGAGCGUGGCCCCCUUCUCAGCACCUCAGGUAAGAGGACUCGAGCGAAGCCGACCCGAGCCCACCCGUGAGCACAGUCUCCGAGUCCUGAGCGUGGUGGCAGCACUCCCGGCGUCCUGUCCUGACAGGCAGCACCUGACUCCCCGAGAUUCCACGGCUCCAUGUCCCAGCUGUGAGCCCAGCUGUGGCGCGUCCCUGCUCUCAGCAUGGCCCUGGCCCGUCGCUGGCCCGAGAAAAGGAAGGCAGAUGUCUUCCAGCUGCGUUCCACCAGCCAGCACGUCCAUGUCGGAACAGAUGCAGCCUCGGGGGCGAGGAGUCUGGCGCGUCCACGCCGGAGCAGCCGCGCCGGGUGCAGAAUCCACUCCUGCUGGGAGACGAGAAAGGCUCGUGGGAGGGACACGCUCCUGAGGGCUGUCGGCACAGACGUAAGCCCUUCACUCGUGGAAAGAACCGGCAAGAUGGGCACGUAGAGAAAGUUACUGAGUCGCACUGAAUGUAACACAGAAAACACAAGAAGCGGAUGGUCGCGCUGUGCCCGCGGAGACGCAGGAAACACCACAUGACACCGGUGCCCCCACCCCGGCCCACGGCUCCAGCACCGCAGUGCAAGGCCUGCCCUGCGGGCUCGUUCUCCUCUGGGGCGGGCCGUUCCGGCUGCUGGAGGCGUGUUUGCAGCACCCGGGCCCCACUCAGCACCCCGCCAGGCAUGACUCCCAAAACCACCUGCAGACAUCUCCCUGUGGCCCCCGGGCUGCCUGCACUGAGAUCCCUGCACUGACGCUGCGGAGCGUGAGCAGACGCGUGGGGCGUGAAGAGUGCGCUCCCGC